CUCUUCCUAAGGACAACUGAAAGGUGUUCAUGUUGUUCAGAAGACUGUUUGCUCUACAAAGAAAAGCCUCUUCAAAGAAGCACCACAGAAUCACUCACGUUGAUGUUAAACGCAUUUUGCGGAUACAGAGGUCUCCCGGUAGAAGACUAAUGUUCCCAACUCAACAAGGUUGUUGA
This 176-nucleotide long non-coding RNA is filed under the name Numida meleagris (helmeted guineafowl). RNAcentral's name for it is "lncRNA (ENSNMEG00000009585.1)". Lineage: Eukaryota; Metazoa; Chordata; Aves; Galliformes; Numididae. The record is from RNAcentral.